This 886-nucleotide ribosomal RNA is filed under the name uncultured bacterium. Its description in RNAcentral is "bacterial SSU rRNA". It matches the Rfam family "Bacterial small subunit ribosomal RNA", at positions 28 to 896 of the family's 1533-position model. The record is from RNAcentral.
GAUGAACGCUGGCGGCGUGGAUAAGGCAUGCAAGUCGAGCGCCGAGCAUUCAGUUCGCUGAGUGCUCGGAGCGGCAAACGGGUCAGUAACACGUGGAUUAUCUGCCCGUGAGACUCGCAUAACUCUUCGAAAGAAGAGCUAAUUCGAGAUAGUCUGGUAAUCGAUUCUUCUUUUACCAGUAAAGGUUGGAGUAAUCCUUCCACUCACGGAAGAGUCCGCGGCCUAUCAGCUUGUUGGUGGAGUAAUGGUUCACCAAGGCUUUGACGGGUAGGUGGUCUGAGAGGAUGGUCGCCGACACUGGGACUGAGACACGGCCCAGACUCCUACGGGAGGCAGCAGCCGAGAAUAUUGCGCAAUGGGCGAAAGCCUGGACGCAGCGACGCCGCGUGCCCGAGGAAGCCCUGCGGGGUGUAAAGGGCUUUUUCCGCCGAAAAAGUUUAGACAGCAAUGUCUAUUCUGAUGGUAGGCGGAGAAUAAGGGGGGGCUAAUCGCGUGCCAGCAGCAGCGGUAAAACGUGACCCUCGAGCGUUAUCCGGAAUCACUGGGCGUAAAGCGUCCGUAGGCGGCUUGGUAAGUCUAAGGUUAAAGCCCUCGGGCUCAACCUGAGGAAGGCUUUAGAUACUAUUAAGCUAGAGGGUGUUAGGGGCUGAUGGAACUCACGGUGUAGGGGUGAAAUCCGUUGAUAUCGUGGGGAACACCAAAAGCGAAGGCAUUCAGCUGGGGCAACCCUGACGCUGAGGGACGAAAGCCAGGGGAGUGAAUGAGAUUAGAUACCUCAGUAAUCCUGGCCGUAAACGGUGGACACUAGCUAUUGCAAGUGUCGACCCUUGCAGUGGCGAAGCUAACGCGUUAAGUGUCCCGCCUGGGGAGUACAGCCGCAAGGCCG